Mustela lutreola (European mink) is the source of this 1029-nucleotide long non-coding RNA. RefSeq lists it as uncharacterized. Lineage: Eukaryota; Metazoa; Chordata; Mammalia; Carnivora; Mustelidae. The transcript has 5 exons. The record is from RefSeq and is a predicted model, not a curated record.
AGGGAACCGGAGCUGGGAAGGUGCCGGGGGCGGGGCUCGCAGAGGAGGCGGGGGAUUGCGGGGGCGUGGCUGGAGGGGGCGUGGUCCGCGGGUGCUGCGCGGGAGUUGGGGAAGCGUCCUGCUGCACACAGGACCCAGUAAGCAGCCGGCGCUGAAGCUAGCGCCCGGGUCGGGACGUUCUUGUGGCAGAGUCGGUCUUGUUCUUGCGAUCCAGUCCUUUCUGGGACCUAGCACCGAGCGCUCUCCGUGCACCAGGCAGGACAGUGGGCAGCAGGGCUGACCCCGCAACUGUGUGAGUCCACCCUUGCACCGGUUCUGCCCUGGAACUGGACUUCGUCAGCAACAACACCCCAGACCUGAACCCUGGGUUCCUGUAUCCAACUGUCUGGCCACUUUUCUGCUGGGCUAUCUUUAGAGAGCUCAGGCUCUGGUAUCAUGUGUCCACUCCUGAUCUCCCCUCAAGCCUGCUACUCACUCCAGCCCCCACCACAGAGGACAGCACUCCAUCCUGCCUGCUAAGUUCACAUUCCAGUGCAAACUCCCUGAUGGGCCACCCAUAUGGAUAAGGCUGAAGUCAGAGCAUCCUUUUUGAGGCAGUCUGAGAAUCUAGACUCAGAUUUGCUUACUCGGUUCCCUGCUGUGGUGCAGCAUUGAUGCGUGGGGGCUUUCAGCAGACGUGAACUUGGGGAAAGCAGCAUGGGGUAGACCCUGUUCCAGGGAUUCAGGAAUGGACAGACUGGCUCCUGCCCUCAAACAGCUGACAUACUCUUGAGAGGAGCAGAUAAAAGCCGAGUAAAAACCAAACAAGCAGGAUGGACUGUGAGCAUCUCAUCAUCUGAGGAAGACCCUGGGUGGAGAUCACUGAAGGAUUUCUUCAAGAUAUAGUGGUCCCAGCGGUGUGCUGAUGGAUUCUGGGUGUGGAAUGACCCUUCAUGGAUGGUGUUUUACCUCGAUUCAAAACUUAAGCAGCUUAAAUGCUUAUGCUGAAGCUACUCGCCCAAAUUUAGAUAAAGUGUGAGAGUGGAGAAA